CAAACACCACCAAUGCUAUGAUCAACCGCAGUACAGGAACUGGGAUGCGGGGGAAGAGAGUAUCAAAAUAGUACUGCAAUAGAACACCAACUUGUAAGUAUUUGGCUCAACACCUAGAAAGAAAUAUAGACAAGAUAGAAGAGCAUGAAUUAUAUAGUCAUCAUAAAAUUCAUUUUAACUUUAUGUAGUAGCACAACCCUAUUCCUAGGUUUCUGACUUUCAAACUUUCAAACAAAUAACAAAAGCAUUAAUAUAACAGUCAUAUACAACAAUGAAAUUUCCAAUAUUGCAUUAAUAUAACAGUUUAAGACAACUAGCAAGAUAUUUAAAAACUUACUGUAUCACAUACAUUUCCUUUGUGUCAUAUCCUUCGUUGACCCUUAAAGAAAGAGAAAUUAAAACAUAAAAUCAGCACCAUCUGUUACAAUCAAUUCUGCCUGUUAAAGAAAGAGAUAUUUGAUUUUGUUAGUUAUUAUAUGAGUAAGAUUUAUUCUAUAAAAAAAUUAGUGAUAUAUUUCCAAAAUUAUAAUUAAAAAUAAAUGUUAUAAUUAGUAUCCAAUAAACUUAAUUAGGAAUAGAGAAGAGAUAAUUGAGAAAAACUAUUUUUAAUUAGAAACAUACAUAUAUUAAGCAAGUGAGAUAUUAUUUUUAAUUAGAGAAUUUAAAUUAAACUAGAGGUAGUUUUUAGAAGUUUGCAAUGAUGAAUCAAAAUUUUAUAUAUAUAUAUAUAUAUAUAUAUAUAUAUAUAUAUAUAUAUAUAUUAAAAUGAUUUAUAAAAUGACUUGAAAAAAAUCUAAAAUAUGUACUACUUUAGUAGUCAAUUAGUUCAAACAAACAAUUUAGUAGUUCAUACAAAAAAUUAGAAAUGCACUUUCUACAAGAAUCAUCUAUACAUCUUAGCAACAUCUUAAACAGAAUGUAGGCAAUCAAUCACCUGCAGUAAAAAGAUUCCUAACAGCAGCAGCGACGUGGCCAUCUGCUAAAUCCAUAACUUGGAUAAUAAAUAAAUAAAAUCAACAUCUGAAAUAUAAGUAAGUUUUACAAUGUUAAAGCAUCAUGACCUACCUAGAAACAUACAAACGCCGGCAGAACAAGAAUUUACACUCAAAGGCAUCUAAACAACUUGGAAAUCACAUAAAUCAUAUUCAGGUUAGGUUGUUGUAUAUAUAUAUAUAUAUAUAUAUAUAUAUCUAAAAUAUCAAUUCCUUUCAAAAGCGGACUCAACCAAGGGACUAAAAGCGGACUAAGCUUAUUGAGUGCUGAAGCAUGAAAAGGACACGCGGGUCAAAAAGCGGACAUGGGUCAAAAAAAGAACCCAUGCCAUAUUAGUACACUUCACACCGCUCUCUCUCCUACAAAGAGAAUCGGAAGCUAAAGAUUCCUACUUAAUUUUGUAAUUUCUAUUUGAUUUCAAAGAAAUCUAGGUUUGUUUUGGGAAAAGUUGCAACGUAUGAAGAGUCUGCUUCCUCAACCGUCGGACCUGUUUAAGUUUUGAUUUUGCUCUGCGUUCUUCAUCUGUUUCCAGCUUGAGUUGUUCCAUCUCUUUGCAUAAUUUAUCUGAGAAUUGGUUUAUUUGGUCGAUUGUUCAGGCUAACUAGAGUACAAUUACUUUGUAAGUUGUAACCAAGUGAGAUCUUGAUACUCUGCCAUUUAACCAUUGAGUUCUUGUUCUCAAUUUUAUGAUCGGACAUUUCUACAAACAGAAGCUAGUUGAGCCCACGAUUGAAGAUUGGGAAAAUUCGUUAUAUUAGUAGAAAAAUAGAACAAUAGGUGCUCAAUACAAAAAAACAACAACCAAGUCUUCAAGAACCUAAACCGUACAAAGCAGCUACCUCUUUUUUCUGUGAUCCUCUCUGAAAUGUUCUUGGUAGAAUGUAUGUAUAUAAGAAUGAAUGUAUUAGUUGUAGGUAAAACUAUUAGUUGUAGAUGAAACUAUAUAUAUAUUAUGAACAUAAAUUUACACUAAAAGGCAUCUAAACUACUUGGAAAACACAUAGAUUAUAUUCAGGUUAGGUUUCAGGUUCGGACUCCCGGACCGGACCAAAAUCUGGAACCCUUUUUUUUUAAUUUUUAAAACAACUAAAAAAAAUAAAUAAAUAAUUAUGGAACUUGAAUUUUUACAUAAUACAGUGUUUUGACUGUGAUACAUAUACCAAAACAUGUAUGUACAGUCUGUGCAGACUGAACAUACAUUUUUUGGUAUAGGUAUCCAAAUCACGCCCAAAACAUUGUAUUAUGAAAAAAUUUCAGUUCCAUAAAAUACUAAAUAUUUUUUUUAAGUUGUUUAAAAAAAAAGCAAAAUAAAAAAUAAAAAAUGGUCCGUUUCUGUAUAUAUAUAUAUAUAUAUAUAUAUAUAUAUUACGACUGUAGAUGAAUGAGAUAAACAGAGCAGAUUAUUUACCGAAAGGGAAGCAAAAACAAGAACCCAACACGUCUUGUAUAAAGUGAUUGAUCCGAGAUGGAUCACAGCAGAAAACCUAUACCAAAAUCAUUCGAUAAAGAAAACCCAUAAUUUCAAUAAAUUUCCCAAAUGGGUUGGAAGAAGAAAAAAAAUCAAUAUAACGAAUUAGUUCAACAUACUCAUCCUUACAAAAUAAUUUCUCAAAAUUAUCCUUAUUCCUAAUAUUGCCCUGCAACCAAACCAACACCACAUAAUAUUUUACUAUAAAAGGAAAAAAGAAAAAAACAAGAAAAAUUACCAACUAAAUUAAAAAUUCAAAAAGAGCAAAAUUAAAGAAAAUUAUCAAUUCAAAAUGUUCAACUAAGUCUUCAAGAACCCUAAAUCGUACAGACCAGCUACCUCUUCUUUCUGUGAUCCUCUCUAAAAUUUUCUUCCCUCUCAACUUCGGUCUUGAAACGGUUAUGACAUUUGCCACAUUCAAACUUUCUCCAUGGCUUGGAAUGUACGGAGCGGAUGUGCUGUAAGAAGCAAUUAAUACUGCCAAAAGCCCUCAUACAUUCAAAGCAAUAGGAAGGUUCCAUCGCAUGUUUGAAAAAAUAGUAAAAAGAUGGAUUGAAGAAUGUAAGAGAAAGAACAGAGUGCGUUGAAACUAACAAUAUUUGAAUGGAAGAUUCAAGAAUAUGGACUCUGUUAUUUCUCUUCCAUUUUUCAACGCACUCUGUUGUUUCUUUUCUAUUUUUCAAUCCAUCUCUCUACUAUUCUUUCGAACAUGCGAUGAAACCUCCAUAUUGCUAUGAAUGUACGAGGGCUUUUGGCAGUAAUAAUGGUCUCUUACACCACAUCCGCUUCGUACAUUCCAAACCAUGGAGAAAGUUUGAAUGUGGCAAAUGUCAUAACCGCUUAGCUGAGGGGGAAGAAUAUUUCAGAGAGAAUCACAGAAAGAAGAGGUAGCUGCUCUGUACAAUUUAGGGUUCUUGAAGACAUAGUUGGAUAUCUUGAAUUGAUAAUUUUCUUUAAUUUUGCUCUUCUUGAAUUUUAAUUUUAGUUGUUUUUUUUUCUUGUUUUCUUUUAUAGUGAAAUAUUAUGUGGUGUUGGUUUGGUUGCAGGGCGAUACUAGGAAUAAGAAUGAUUUGGAGAAAUUAUUUUCCAAGAAUGAAUACGUUGAAUUAAUUCUUUAUAUUGAUUUUUUUUUCGAAGAACAAAAAUUACCAAAUUAAAAAUUCAAAAAGAGUAAAAUUAAAGAAAAUCAGCAUUUCAAAAUGUCCAACUUUGUUUUCAAAAACCCUAAACCGUACAGAGCAGCUACCUCUUCUUUCUGUGAUCCUCUCUGAAAUUUUCUUCCCUCUCAACUUCGGUCUUGAAGCGGUUAUGGCAUUUGCCACAUUAAAACUUUCUCCAUCGCUUGGAAUGUACGGAGCGUAUGUGCUGUAAGAAGCCAUUAAUACUGCGAAAAGCCCUCAUACAUCCAAAGCAAUAUGGAGGUUCCAUCGCAUGUUUGAAAGAAUAGUAAAAAGAUGGAUUGAAGAAUGUAAUAGAAAGAACAAAGUGCGUUGAAACUAACAAUAUUUGAAUGGAAGAUUCAAGAAUAUGGACUGUUGUUUCUCUACCAUUUUUCAAUCCAUCUCUCUACUAUUUUUUCGAACAUGCGAUGGAACCUCCCUAUUACUUUGAAUGUACGAGGGCUUUUUGGCAGUAAUAAUGGCCCCUUACACCCCAUCCGCUUCGUACAUUCCAAACCAUGUAGAAAGUUUGAAUGUGGCAAAUGCCAUAACCGCUUCAAGAACGAAGUUGAGGGGGAAGAAUAUUUCAGAGAGGAUCACAGAAAGAAGAGGUAGCUGCUCUGUACAGUUUAGGGUUCUUGAAAACUUAGUUAGACAACUUGAAUUGGUAAUUUUAUUUAAUUUUGCUCUUGAAUUUUUAUUUUAGUUGUUUAUUUUUGUUCUUGUUUUUUUUUCUUUCUUUCUUUUAUAGUGAAAUAUUAUGUGGUGUUGGUUUGGUUGCAGGGCGAUAUUAGGAAUAAGAAUGAUUUUGAGAAAUUAUUUUCCAAGAAUGAAUACGUUGAAUUAAUUAUUUAUAUUGAUUUUUUUUUUCGAAGAAAAAAAAUACCAACUAAAUUAAAAAUUCAAAAAGAGCAAAAUUAAAGAAAAUUAACAAUUCAAAAUGUCCAACUAAGUUUUCAAGAACCCUAAACCGUACAGAGCAACUACCUCUUCUUUCUGUGAUCCUCUCUGAAAUUUUCUUCCCUCUCAACUUCGGUCUUGAAACGGUUAUUGCAUUUGCCACAUUCAAAAUUUCUCCAUAGCUUGGAAUGUACGGAGCGGAUGUUCUGUAAGAAGCCAUUAAUACUGCCAAAAGCCCUCAUACAUUCAAAGCAAUAGGGAGGUUCCAUUGCAUGUUCGAAAAAAUAGUAAAAAGAUGGAUUGAAGAAUGGAAGAGAAAGAACAGAGUGCAUUGAAACUAACAAUAUUUGAAUGGAAGAUUCAAGAAUAUGGACUCUGUUAUUUCUCUUCCAUUUUUCAACGCACUCUGUUGUUUUUUUUCCAUUUUUCAAUCCAUCUCUCUACUAUUCUUUCGAACAUGCGAUAAACCUCCAUAUUGCUAUGAAUGUACGAGGACUUUUGGCAGUAAUAAUGUCCUGUUACACCACAUCCGCUUCGUACAUUCCAAACCAUGGAGAAAGUUUGAAUGUUGCAAAUGUCAUAACCUCUUAGCUGAGGGGGAAGAAUAUUUCAGAGAGAAUCACAGAAAGAAGAGGUAGCUGCUCUGUACAAUUUAGGGUUCUUGAAGACAUAGUUAGAUAUCUUGAAUUGAUAAUUUUCUUUAAUUUUGCUCUUCUUGAAUUUUAUUUUAGUUGUUUAUUUUUCUUGUUUUUUUUUCUUUAUUUCUUUUAUAGUGAAAUAUUAUGUGGUGUUGGUUUGGUUGCAGGGCGAUAUUAGGAAUAAGAAUGAUUUGGAGAAAUUAUUUUCCAAGAAUGAAUACGUUGAAUUAAUUCUUUAUAUUGAUUUUUUUUUUCGAAGAACAAAAAUUACCGACUAAAUUAAAAAUUCAAAAAGAACAAAAUUAAAGAAAAUCACCAUUUCAAAAUGUCCAACUAAGUUUUCAAGAACCCUAAACCGUACAGAGCAGCUACCUCUUCUUUCUGUGAUCCUCUUUGAAAUUUUCUUCCCUCUCAACUUCGGUCUUGAAGCGGUUAUGGCAUUUGCCACAUUAAAACUUUCUCCAUGGCUUGGAAUGUACGGAGUGUAUGUGCUGUAAGAAGCCAUUAAUACUGUCAAAAGCUCUCAUACAUUCAAAGCAAUAUGGAGGUUUCAUCGCAUGUUCGAAAGAAUAGUAAAAAGAUGGAUUGAAGAAUGUAAGAGAAAGAACAAAGUGCAUUGAAACUAACUAUAUUUGAAUGGAAGAUUCAAGAAAAUGGACUGUGUUGUUUCUCUUCCAUUUUUCAACGCACUCUGUUGUUUCUCUUCCAUUUUUCAAUCCAUCUCUUUACUAUUUUUUCGAACAUGCGAUGGAACCUCUCUAUUACUUUGAAUGUACGAGGGCUUUUGACAGUAAUAAUGGCCUCUUACACCCCAUCCGCUUCGUACAUUCCAAACCAUGAAGUUUGAAUGUGGCAAAUGCCAUAACCGCUUCAAAAACGAAGUUGAGGGGGGAGAAUAUUUCAGAGAGGAUCACAGAAAGAAGAGGUAGCUGCUCUGUACAGUUUAGGGUUCUUGAAGACUUAGUUGGACAUCUUGAAUUGAUAAUUUUAUUUAAUUUUGCUAUUCUUGAAAUUUUAAUUUAGUUGUUCAUUUUUCUUCUAUAGUGAAAUAUUAUGUGGUGUUGGUUUGGUUGCAGGGCGAUAUUAGGAAUAAGAAUGAUUUGGAGAAAUUAUUUUCCAAGAAUGAAUAUGUUGAAUUAAUUUUUUAUUCUCUUCGAACCCAUUUGGGAAAUUUAUUGAAAUUAUGGGUUUCCUAAUAUCGCAUUGCAACCAACACCACAUAAUAUUUCACUAUAAAAGGAAAAAUGAAAAAAAAACAAGAAGAAAAAUUACCAACUAAAUUAAAAAUUUUAAAAGAGCAAAAUUAAAAAAAAUUACCAAUUCAAAAUGUCCAACUAAGUUUUCAAGAACCCUAAACCGUACAGAGAAGCUACCUCUUCUUUCUGUGAUCCUCUUUGAAAUUUUCUUCCCUCCCAACUUCGGUCUUUAAACGGUUAUGGCAUUUGCCACAUUCAAACUUUCUUCAUGGCUUGGAAUGUACGGAGCGGAUGUGUUGUAAGAAGCCAUUAUCACUGCCAAAAGCCCUCGUACAUUCAAAGCAAUAGGGACGUUCCAUCGCAUGUUCGAAAGAAUAGUAAACAGAUGGAUUGAAGAAUGGAAGAGAAAGAACAGAGUGCGUUGAAACUAACAAUAUUUGAAUGGAAGAUUCAAGAAUAUGGACUCUGUUGUUUCUCUUCCAUUUUUAACGCACUCUGUUGUUUCUCUUCCAUUUUUCAAUCCAUAUCUCUCUACUAUUCUUUCGAACAUGCGAUGGAACUCCCUAUUACUUUGAAUGUACUAGGGCUUAUGGCAGUAAUAAUGGCCUCUUACACCCCAUCCGCUUCGUAAUGGAGAAAGUUUGAAUGUGGCAAAUGUCAUAACCGCUUCAAGAACGAAGCUGAGGGGGAAGAAUAUUUUAGAGAAGAUCACAGAAAGAAGAGGUACCUGCUCUGUACAGUUUAGGGUUCUUGAAGACUUAGUUGAACAUCUUAAAUUGAUAAUUUUCUUUAAUUUUACUCUUGAAUUUUUAUUUUAGUUGUUUAUUUUUGUUCUUGUUUUUUUUUAUUUCUUUCUUUUAUAGUGAAAUAUUAUGUGGUGUUGGUUUGGUUGCAGGGCGAUAUUAGGAAUAAGAAUGAUUUGGAGAAAUUAUUUUCCAAGAAUGAAUACAUUGAAUUAAUUCUUUAUAUUGAUUUUUUUUUCGAAUAAGAAAAAUUACCAACUAAAUUAAAAAUUCAAAAAGAACAAAAUUAAAAAAAAAUUACCAAUUCAAAAUAUCCAACUAAGUUUUCCAUAACCCUAAACCGUACAGAGAAACUACCUCUUCUUUCUGUGAUCCUUUCUGAAAUUUUCUUCCCUCUCAACUUUGGUCUUGAAACGGUUAUGGCAUUUGCCACAUUCAAACUUUCUCCAUGGCUUGGAAUGUAUGGAGCGGAUGUGCUGUAAGAAGCCAUUAAUACUGCCAAAAGCCCGCAUACAUUCAAAGCAAUAGGAAUGUUCCAUCGCAUGUUCGAAAGAAUAGUAAAAAGAUGGAUUGAAGAAUAGAAGAGAAAGAACAGAGUGCGUUGAAACUAACAAUAUUUGAAUGGAAGAUUCAAGAAUAUGGACUCUGUUAUUUCUCUUCCAUUUUUAACGCACUGUUGUUUCUUUUCCAUUUUUCAAUCCAUCCCUCUACUAUUUUUUCGAACAUGCGAUGAAACCUCCAUAUUGCUAUGAAUGUACGAGGGCUUUUGGCAGUAAUAAAUGGACUUUUACACCACAUCCGCUUCAUACAUUUCGUACAUUCCAAACCAUGGAGAAAGUUUGAAUGUGGCAAAUGUCAUAACCGCUUACCUGAGGGGGAAGAAUAUUUCAGAGAGUAUCACAGAAAAAAGAGGUAGCUGCUCUGUACAAUUUAGGGUUCUUGAAGACAUAGUUGGAUAUUUUGAAUUGAUAAUUUUCUUUAAUUUUGCUCUUCUUGAAUUUUUAUUUUAGUUGUUUUUUUUUCUUUAUUUCUUUUAUAGUGAAAUAUUAUGUGGUGUUGGUUUGGUUGUAGGGCGAUAUUAGGAAUAAGAAUGAUUUGGAGAAAUUAUUUUCCACGAAUGAAUAUGUUGAAUUAAUUCUUUAUAAUGAUUUUUUUUUCGAAGAAGAAAAAUUACCAACUAAAUUAAAAAUUCAAAAAAAAACAAAAUUAAAGAAAAUUAUCAAUUCAAAUUGUUCAACUAAGUUUUCAAGAACCCUAAACCGUACAGAGCAGCUACCUCUUUUUUCUGUGAUCCUCUCUGAAAUUUUUUUACCUCUCAACUUUGGUCUUGAAGCAGUUAUGACAUUUGCCACAUUCAAACUUUCUCCAUUGCUUGGAAUGUACGGAGCGGAUGUGCUGUAAGAAGCCAUUAAUACUGCCAAAAGCCCUCUUACAUUCAAAGGGAGGUUCCAUCGCAUAUUCGAAAGAAUAGUAAAAAGAUGGAUUGAAGAAUGGAAGAGAAAGAACAGAGUACGUUGAAACUAACAAUAUUUGAAUGGAAGAUUCAAGAAUAUGGACUCUGUUAUUUCUCUUCCAUUUUUUAACGCACUGUUGUUUCUUUUCCAUUUUUCAAUCCAUCCCUCUACUAUUCUUUCGAACAUGCGAUGAAACCUCCAUAUUGCUAUGAAUGUACGAGGGCUUUUGGCAGUAAUAAUGGCCUUUUACACCACAUCCGCUUCGUACAUUUCGUACAUUCCAAACCAUGGAGAAAGUUUGAAUGUGGCAAAUGCCAUAACCGCUUACUUGAGGGGAAGAAUAUUUCAGAGAGUAUCACAGAAAAAAGAGGUAGUUGCUCUGUACAAUUUAAGGUUCUUGAAGACAUAGUUGGAUAUCUUGAAUUGAUAAUUUUCUUUAAUUUUGCUCUUCCUGAAUUUUUAUUUUAGUUGUUUAUUUUUCUUCUUGUUUUUCUUUCUUUAUUUCUUUUAUAGUGAAAUAUUAUGUGGUGUUGGUUUGGUUGCAGGGCGAUAUUAGGAAUAAGAAUGAUUUGGAGAAAUUAUUUUCCAAGAAUGAAUACGUUGAAUUAAUUCUUUAUAAUGAUUUUUUUUUCGAAGAAGAAAAAUUACCAACUAAAUUAAAAAUUCAAAAAAAACAAAAUUAAAGAAAAUUAUCAAUUCAAAAUGUUCAACUAAGUUUUCAAGAACCCUAAACCGUACAGAGCAGCUACCUCUUUUUUCUGUGAUCCUCUCUGAAAUUUUUUUACCUCUCAACUUCGGUCUUAAAGCGGUUAUGACAUUUGCCACAUUCAAUCUUUCUCCAUUGCUUGGAAUGUACGGAGCGGAUGUGCUGUAAGAAGCCAUUAAUACUGCCAAAAGUUCUCUUACAUUCAAAGCAAUAGGGAUGUUCCAUCGCAUGUUCGAAAAAAUAGUAAAAAGAUGGAUUGAAGAAUGGAAGAGAAAGAACAGAGUGCGUUGAAACUAACAAUAUUUGAAUGAAAGAUUCAAGAAUAUGGACUCUGUUAUUUCUCUUCCAUUUUUUAACGAACCCUAUUGUUUCUUUUCCAUUUUUCAAUCCAUCUCUCUACUAUUCUUUCGAACAUGCGAUGAAACCUCUAUAUUGCUUUGAAUGUACGAGGACUUUUGACAGUAAUAAUGGCCUUUUACACCACCUCCCCUUCGUACAUUUCGUACAUUCCAAACAAUGGAGAAAGUUUGAAUGUGGCAAAUGUCAUAACCGCUUACCUGAGGGGGAAGAAUAUUUCAGAGAGGAUCGCAGAAAAAAGAGGUAGCUGCUCUGUACAAUUUAGGGUUCUUGAAGACAUAGUUAGACAUCUUGAAUUGAUAAUUUUCUUUAAUUUUGCUUUUUCUUGAAUUUUUAUUUUAGUUGUUUAUUUUUCUUCUUGUUUUUUUUUUCUUUAUUUCUUUUAUAGUGAAAUAUUAUGUGGUGUUGGUUUAGUUGCAGGGCGAUAUUAGGAAUAAGAAUGAUUUGGAGAAAUUAUUUUCCAAGAAUGAAUACGUUGAAUUAAUUCUUUAUAAUGAUUUUUUUUUCGAAGAAGAAAAAUUACCAACUAAAUUAAAAAUUCAAAAAGAACAAAAUUAAAGAAAAUUACCAAUUCAAAAUGUCCAACUAAGUUUUCAAGAACCCUAAACCGUACAGAGAAGCUACCUCUUCUUUCUGUGAUCCUUUCUGAAAUUUUUUUACCUCUCAACUUCUGUCUUGAAGCGGUUAUGACAUUUGCCACAUUCAAACUUUCUCAAUGGCUUGGAAUGUACGGAGCGGAUGUGCUGUAAGAAGCCAUUAAUACUGCCAAAAGCCCUCUUACAUUCAAAGCAAUAGGGAGGUUCCAUCACAUGUUCGAAAGAAUAGUAAAAAGAUGGAUUGAAGAAUGGAAGAGAAAAAACAGUGCGUUGAAACUAACAAUAUUUGAAUGGAAGAUUCAAGAAUAUGGACUAUGUUAUUUCUCUUCCAUUUUUCAACACACUGUUGUUUCUUUUCAAUUUUUCAAUCCAUUUCUCUACUAUACUUUCGAACAUGCGAUGAAACCUCUAUAUUGCUUUGAAUGUACGAGGACUUUUGGCAGUAAUAAUGGCCUCUUACACCACAUCCGCUUCGUACAUUCAAAACCAUAGAGAAAGUUUGAAUGUGAAAAAUGUCAUAACCGUUUCAAGAACGAAGCUGAGGGGGAAGAAUAUUUCAGAGAGGAACCGCUUCAAGAACGAAGCUGAGGGGGAAGAAUAUUUCAGAGAGAAUCACAGAAAGAAGAGGUAGCUGCUCUGCACAAUUUAGGGUUUUUGAAAACAUAGUUGGAUAUCUUGAAUUGAUAAUUUUCUUUAAUUUUGCCCUUCUUGAAUUUUUAAUUUAGUUCAUUUUUCUUCUUGUUUUUUUACAGUGAAAUAUUAUGUGGUGUUGGUUUGGUUGCAGGGCGAUAUUAGGAAUAAGAAUGAUUUGGAGAAAUUAUUUUCCGAGAAUGAAUACGUUGAAUUAAUUCUUUAUAUUGAUUUUUUUUUCGAAUAAGAAAAAUUACCAACUAAAUUAAAAAUUAAAAAAGAACAAAAUUAAAGAAAAUCACAAAUUCAAAUUGCUUGGAAUGUAUGGAGCGGAUGUGUUGUAAGAAGCCAUUAAUACUGCCAAAAGCCCUUGUACAUUCAAAGCAAUAGGGAGGUUCCAUCGCAAGAGAUGGAUUGAAGAAUGGAAGAGAAAGAACAGAAAAGAAAUAACAGAGUGCGUUGAAACUAACAAUAUUUGAAUGGAAAAUUCAAGAAUAUGGAACCUGUUGUUUCUCUUCCAUUUUUCAACGCACUCUGUUGUUUCACUUCUAUUUUUCAAUCCAUCUCUCUACUAUUCUUUCGAACAUGCGAUGGAACCUCCCUAUUGUUUUGAAUGUACGAUGGGUACGAUGGCUUUUGGCAGUAAUAAUGACCUCUUACACUACAUCCGCUUCAUACAUUCCAAACCAUGAAGAAAGUUUGAAUGUGGCAAAUGUCAUAACCGCUUCAAGAACGAAGCUGCGGGGGAAGAAUAUAUUAGAGAGGAUCAUAGAAAGAAGAGGUAGUUGCUCUGUACAGUUUAGGGUUUUUGAAGACUUAGUUGGACAUCUUGAAUUGGUAAUUUUCUUUAAUUUUGCUCUUCUUGAAUUUUUAAUUUAGUUGUUCAUUUUUCUUUUUCUUUUUUGUUUCUUUCUUUUAUAGUGAAAUAUUAUGUGGUGUUUGUUUGGUUGCAGUGCUAUAUUAGGAAGAAGAAUGAUUUGGAAAAAUUAUUUUCCAAGAAUAAAUACGUUGAAUUAAUUCUUUAUAUCUUCCUUUCCCCUCCUUAACCUUAUAAAUGCAGCUGAAAGUUAUAAUGGAUGUUAACUGCUUCCACCGCUCAAAUCUGUUACAAUUUCAAAUUGAUCUUUUGCUGACCUCAUGAUUGACAACUAGCUUCUGCUGACAUCACUCUAACUAACUUCUUAUUGCUUAUUACAUCAUCCUAAUCAUUCUAACAAUCUUUAAUUCAAUUCUAAUUACACCUGUAAUUUGAAUAAUAGUCAUAACAUACACAUACACCUUAGAUAACACUUUAAGGGAGAACCCAAAUAAAGCCUUGAAGGGAUAACACUUUAAAGCUGUGUGAUAAUUUGUAUUAAAGCCACAUUGUCAAUUUCCUUGGUUGCUCAUUGCACAUACACGUUAGAUAACAUUCCAAGCACAUGUUAAGUCGUUUUUCCUGACCAUCAGAUUGUGGGUGCUAAGAUGAGCUCAUACAUAACUUCACUCCCAAUUGCUGAAAUAGGGACUGCCAAAAUGUACUCAUAAUUUUUUUAUCCCUAUCACUAACAUUUGUUUGAGGCAACCCAUGCAACCUAUAUAUGUUGUUGCUCCAAUCACUAAAGUGUGUCCAAUCCUGCACAGAAAAGAGUAAACACUGAAAGCUUGACGGUCUGGGCCGCCGGGGGAUAGCUCUAGUGUGAGAAUAAGUACAGACUGAUAUAAUGUUAACAAUGGAGGCUUAACGUUCUAGUGCUACAAAGUAAUAAUUUGCAUGUACCUUGUAAUCAGAGAAAAAAGCCUUGUAUUUAUAAUGUUCUCAUCACCUUCAUGAAAUCCUUGAUAGGAUUGUACCAAAUCUCCUAGAAUUAAGGAAGUUGGUUUAUAACCCAAUACUUCUUUCCAUAUCCAGAGACCAAGUAUAAUUAGGAACCUUAAUCCACAAAUCCCCCGUCUACCAAAACAACCCGUUGUCCAAGCCCACAUAAUACCAUAUGGAUAAUAGCCCACUGUAUUUCAUAGGCCCAAAUAUCCUUGGCCCAACAUUACCCCCCAAUCUUCCAUCAAAUAGAAUAUUUGACGGAAGAAUAUACAAAACAUGGCCCAACAAGCAACAAUAACCCAAAACAAGGCCCAAUAUCCGGAAAAUCCAAACAUCAGAUAGUAAUCCAACCUUUCAAAUCCAUCAUCCAAACGCCAUCAUAACUUAUUAAUGAGCCGCCCUCGGUAUUCGGGAGCAAUUGAAAAGACAAAAUUAUAAAACCCCUUUUCUCCCAAUUCAAACAGUUUCACCAGCCCAUUUCAAAAUUAAGGAUAAUCUUCCUCUCCCCAUCUUCCCGACUAUCUUCGUUCAAAACUGCAACAAUAGCCUCCUCCCAAAACCCAGACAACAACUUACCGGAAAAAUCCACCCCUAUUCUUGUGAACCCUCUGUCCAGUGUUCCUGCUCCCCUUACAAUCGCUUCUAACCCCACCAUGGUCACUCCAAACCCUAACACCACGCCUAACACAUCCACCAAUGCAGCCACGACCUCCACCCAGAACCCCCCAGAGACCGAUUUACAGAAAAUGAUGCGUGAAUUCCCCAACGAGAAACAAUUUUCACACGCCAACACCCCUUCCCAACAUUACCAAAUCCCUGAAACCCACCAUCUCAAAGCACCAACACCCACAGAUCGAAUGUACCACCGAUCCAAUGGUUGGACCGCCAUGCCCCUUACUCUGCUGGAAAAGGGAGUCUGAUUGCCCUUUCACGCGUUCAUCGUCACCAUUCUAGGGUUUUAUUGGCAUCGGCUUCACCCAGCGGUGCUGAACUCCUACAUCAACAUCAUCGCCUUCAUCGUUUUCUGCCACAAGAUUGGGAUUCCACCUUCAAUCGAUUUCUUCACCACCCUGCACCAACUCGAAAAUUCCCGCGAACCGGGUUUCAAGGUACUGAGAAAAUAACCCCCAAAACCCAACUUCAAGUUUGACAAACGUCCACUGAUGGAUACCCCUUCGAGCAACAGCGGUUGGCACAAAGAUUGGUUCUUCGUCAAAGGACCAGAAACACCCAAACUACCGGACUGGGCUUCCUACAAACGCCUGAAUGUAGACUUCGGCGACACCCCUCCCGAACGAGUGAAAGAAAUGGCAAAAUUGCUCGAGAAACUACCCCUAAAAGAAUGGAGCUUCAGCCUCUUAACCAAACAGGCAUGGCUAUACGACCACCAAUGUAAGUUCUGAAUUUACUACUUAUAUGAUCUUUGAAUUCUCUUCUGUCAUUAUUCUGAGAAACCCCCUUUGUUUUCUAUAGUAUCCCUCAUCAAACCAACUUCAGCCGAGAGAAAAGACACAACUGAAAGACCUGUUCAACCCCAAAACACCGAAGCCGAACCUACCACGAACACCGCCGAAGACCCAACUCAUCCUCAACUGAAAAGAAGAGCAAUCAAAAAACCAAAAAACAUCCCAACCCCGAUUCUCACAGAAAGCCUUCUCGACAUGCUGAUCUCCGAAAGAACUCAGAUUCUUCGGACCAAAAAGAAACGUGCGAAGAUCACCCUGCUCACCACCGAAGAACUGAGGGUUCCCUCGGCCGAAGCCAGACAACCCCAAAGCAUACCCACCGAACCAGACAAACCUGCUGACCCCAUGCCCCAACUAAUCAGAAAACGAAAAAACACCACUGACAGCCAACCGGAACCUUCAAAAAAGGCCCACACCCCAACUCCAUCCGAUCACCCAACAUCGCCUCCCCAACAACCAUCCUCUACCCAUUCACCGGAAGCCGUUCGAUCCCCAACUUUAUGCCUAGAGGAUAAUGAAAAAUGCCCUCUAGACCUGUUUAAUCACUUCGUCCUUCCAACCGACGACCACCACUUCGGGGACAUAUCCAUUGCCGAACUCGUCCGUGCCGACAUGAUUCAUCAGGCCCGCGCAAGUCACUUUCAAUUAAAAAUUACAGUAAUCAUCUUCUUUUCUGAAUCAACUCACCACUGACCCCUAAACACCUGCAGGCUGCUGAAGUCUCCGGACGGCUUGCUCAAAGAUAUAAAGAUAUCGAAGCCGAAGAGAAAGUCGCCCGUAGAUAAAACGAGUUCCUGAAAAUUGCCAUACCAAAGGAGAACGUCUUUUUCUUCUGCGAAGGACUCAAAACAGACAACGCCAAAUUGAAAGAACAAUUGGCAGUGUCUGAAGCACUUCGAAAAAUACGACGAGAUCAUAAAAGUAAAUGAAGUGCUGAGACAAAAUAACCAAAUACUCACCUACCAAUCCAUCGACGUAAUGAAGAAAGAGCAAGCACAACUUCAAAUCCGGGCUGCUCUGGAAAAAGAACUCCGAGACCUCAAAGCCCUUGGCCCGCCCUUAACCGAAGAACUAAAAAACCAAAUCCGAAGCAAAUAUCGAAGAUCUCCCGAACUCACCAACGAGAUUGUACAAAUGUACGCCGAAGGCUAUGAAGCAGCCCGAAGCAAAGGAAAAGCUAAACUUGUCGUUGCAGCUCUAAACCCUUUAUUGCUCGAGUCUUACGACAACGAGGACGAGGAAAGUUCCGAAGACAACCCAAUAAACGACCCUCCACCAACAUAGCUUUAGAUUUCAAACUUGUAAACCUGUAAACUUGUAACUUUUUAUAUGCUUCAAUUAAUACAUUUUUUUUUAAUUUCUCCUAUAAAAAAAUUCCAUAGCUGCUUUGCAAGACAACUAACAUCAAUAAACAAACAUUCACUUAAAAUGAAUAAAAAAUAACCACUUAAAAAACCGAAUUCAACACUUGUCAUCCAUUAAACAGAUACUAUCAAACAAUCAUGUUCACCUCCUAUGGGUCGAACAGAUCCCACCAAACACCAAUCAAUCCUGUUCACCUCCCAAGGGUCGAACAGAUUUCUCCAAACACCUGAAUAAUCAUGUUCACCUCAUAAGGGUCGAACAGAUACCAUGAAACACCAAAUAAUCCUGUUCAGCUCCGAAGCGUCGAACAGAUUCCACCGAACUCCCAAACAACCCUGUUCAACUCCGAAGGGUCGAAUAGAUUCCACCAAACCCCCAAACAAUCCUUUUCACCUCCUAAAAGUCGAACAGAUUCCACCGAACUCCCAAACAAUCUUGUUCCCAAGGGUCGAACAGAUUCCACCGAACCCCCAAACAAUCUUGUUCACCUCCUAAGGGUCGAACAGAUUCUACCAAACACCAAACAACCAUGUUCACCUUCUAAGGGUCGAACAGGUCCCACCAAAUAAUCAUGUUCACCUCCGAAGGGUCGAACAGAUUCCACCAAACACCAAGCAACCAUGUUCACCUCCUAAGGGUCGAACAGGUCCCACCAAACAAUCAUGUUCAACUCCGAAGGGUCGAACAGAUCCCACCUAACACCAAGCAACCAUGGUCCCCUCCUAAGGGUCGAACAGGUCCCACCAAACAAUCAUGUUCACCACCGAAGGGUCGAACAGAUUCCACUAAACACCAAGCAACCAUGUUCACCUCCUAAGGGUCGAACAUGUCCCACCAAACAAUCAUGUUUACCUCCGAAGGGUCGAACAGGUCCCACCAAACACCAAGCAACCAUGUCCACCUCCUAAGGGUCGAACAGAUACCACCAAACCCCCGAAUCACCGCGUUCGCUCUCAGGAGUCGAACAAAUUCCAACAGAUUAACAAUCACAUAAAUUAACACUAGAGAGAAAAAAUGCUUCUUUUAUUCGUAAUCAUUGGAAGAAUUACAGACUCAAAACUCAGACUUCAACCCUACUGAAAAUAUUGCUGAAGUCUUCCCGCAACCUCUGGUCUUCCUAAUACCAUCUUCAAAGGCUAAUCUAUAUACACCACUAUUAACCGACCUUGGAAGUAUUGCCGAAGCUUUCGACUAGCUAUUAUCAGAGCAAAAGCGAACUUCUCAAGGUUCGGAUACAUUGUCUCUGUAUCCUUUAGGGCAUGGUUCACAUAAUAAACCGGGUGCUACUUACCCCCAAUCUCCCGCACCAAAACUUCUCCCACAACCAACGAACUCGCCGCCAGAUACAAGUACAGAGGUUCAGCAGGAACUGGCUUCACCAACAAAGGAGUCGAAUACAAAUACCUUUUUAUCCCCUGAAAGGCGUCCUCACAUUCAAAAGUCCACUGAAAACUCUUCGCAUUCUUCGACCCUUUCAACGUAUCAAAGAAUAGCAAACAUCUUUCUGCCGACUUAGACAUGAACCUCCCCAAAGCUGCAAUCCGACCCGUCAAACGCUGAACAUCCUUGUACGAUUGUGGGGACUUCAUGUCCAGAAUAGCUUGAAUCUUCUCAGGAUUAGCCUCAAUCCCCCUUUUGAUGAACAGAUAACCCAGGAACUUCCCCGCACCCAGUCCGAAGGUACACUUAGAUGGAUUCAACCUCAGAUUGUAGUGCUGAAUAGUUUGAAAACAAUCCUCCAAAUCAUCCAGAUGACCCCGAACUGUCAUACUUUUAACGACCAUGUUAUCUACAUAAACUUCCAUGCUUUGCCCUAACUGCUUCGUGAACACUUAAUUCAUCAUCCUUUGAUAUGUGGCUCCCGCGUUCAAUAAGUCAAAGGUCAUCUUCUUAUACGCAUAUAACGACCAAUGAGUGAUGGAAGGUUGUUUUUGGGAUGUCUUCCUUGCACAUAAAAAUCUGAUGCUAUCCUGAAAAAGUGUCCAUAAAGCUAAGUAAAGCAUACCCCGAAGUCGCAUCGCUAAGCUGGUCGAUGUGUGGCAGGGGAUAGAAGUCAUUCGGGCACACUUUAUUUAGAUCGGUGUAAACUAUACAAACCCACCACUUCCCAUUCUAUUUUGCACCAACACAACAUUCGUCAUCCACUCCGGAUAGUCAAUCUCAAAUAUGAAGUCUACAGCCAAGAGCUUUGCAAUCUUCUCAUCAAUUAUCUUCUACCUUUCCGGGGCGAAAAUCCUUCUCUUCUGCCGAACCGAUUUCUUCGUCGGGUUGUUCAGCAACCUUCCAAUCCAGCCCAGGCAUAUCACUGGGAACCCAGGCGAAGAUAUCUGCAUAGCACUGUAGGAAUUCCACCAAGCUUGUUUGAAUGCAAUCCUGACCCGAUCCUUAGUCUUAUCCUUCUUCCCUGGGAUCAAUUCAACCUCUUCGGUCAAUCCGGCAGGCGUAACCAAGGGCUCAGUACUGCUUUCUGUAAACAGUUCGAUCUCUAUCGUCAUAGCUUGCUUCUGCUUACUAACCCCUACUCCCGAAGUGAUCAGUGCGUUCCAAUAACAUCUCAUUGCCAAAUCAAGAUCCCCAGCGACCUCCCCAACUCCAUGUGGCGUAGGGAACUUAAUCUUAAAGUGAGGGAUCAACGUCACCGCCUGGAGGACUGUCAAAGUGGGUCUUCCCAGAAUCGAAUUGUACGACGAAUCCACAUGCACCACGAAGAAUCUGCACAUGAUUUUCACCUGAUGUGAAGCCGUUCUGAAGACAAUUGGUAACUCAAUCAUCCCUGCAAGUCUAAUAGGCUCGUUGCUGAACCCAUACAAUGGAGACUUCUGCCUGAUCCAUCUUUCUCCCGUCUAGAUUCAUCCUCUGGUAAGCGUGCAUACAAGAUAUCCACCGUAGACCCAUUGUCUAUCAUCAUUCGCUUCAUAUCCACCGAACCCACCUGUGCAGUAAUUACCAGUGCUACCUCGUGUGGUUCGAUCGGUUCUGCAGGGAAAUCCUCAUCAGGGAAUGAGAUCACUGAACCAGGGUAUGAUCUUUCACGCCUUGCAGGUUGGUCCGCCACUGACAAUACCGUAUCCAAGUAUCCACGUCGCUUUCUUCGGGUCACUCUCCCCACAGUUCCGCCUGUGAUUACAUCCACAACCUGGCGUGUUACCUGAGUCUGAUUUCGCUGUAUGGGCUGACUGAUCUAGACAGGUGCACUAUUUGCAUGAUGUGUCCUCGGGGCUUCUCGUCCCACCACAUACUGAACCAACGCCUCAUUAUGCACGUUCUUUUCUAUUAUCUCCAUCAGGCCCCAGCAAACCUCCGUAGCAUGUCCUGCUGACUGAUGGUAGUCACAAUACUUGCUCGGAUUCCUUAUGCCUGGUUUUAUGUUAUCUCUGGGCAGUUCGAAGCAAGGUUGCUCCCUCAUCUGUUCCAAUAUGGUGGCUCGAUCAGUAUUGAGCUUAGUGUAUACCCUAUUCACCUUCUGACUCGGGAAAGGUGGGCGACCUCCCCCCGAACCCCCGUUGUUACUGUACCUCCUUUGAUACCCAUCAGACCUAUCGUUAUUACUGUCGUACCUCCUCUGGUUUCCAUCCAAUUUGUUAUUAUCUUUUUCCCUCAGUUUCUCUGAUGUGCCCUACUUCAAACUGCUCAUGGCUUCCUCCACCACUAUGAAGCCUUGGGCUUUCUCAACUGCUUCGACCAAGCUUUUCAGGUGAUUAAACAUCAGCUUCUUCACCAAUUUCUCCGACUUCACGAAAUCCAACCCGUUCUGAAAGAGCCCUACUGCUUCGAGGUCAUUGAGAUCUGUCACCUAACCUAAUGCCUCCCUGAAUCGUUUCACGUACUGGCCCAAAGUCUCAUUGGAAUGUUGUCUGAUCUGUGACAACGAUCCUGUGGGCUUUCCCCUUCUCUUGUUACUCUCGAACCGGGCAUGGAACUUGUCACAACUCUUCCCAUGACGAGACCGAGUUCGGGGCCAAGGUCAUCAUCCACUGCCUGACAUCUUUCCUCAAGGUCUUCAUGAAGGUAUGACACUUGGUCGCAUAUGUGUAAUCAUAGUAAUGCAUAAAUCUAUCAUAUGCCUGACUGUGUUCGUACGGAUCUCCCGAGCCAUCAUAACUUUCCACAUAAGGAAGCUUUCUGCUAAGGUCUGCCUUUUCUUGGACGAUCUCGGGAGAGAAAUGGGACGCCUUUUUGCCCAAACUCACCUUCCCCUGUUUGACUUUGGCCAAUUCUCUUUGAAGCUCCUCCAAAUUUCUGGCCAACAAUUCCAUCCCAUCCGGCUAUGUGGGCACUUCUUUCUUGGGAGAACCCUUCUUUCCAUGGUUGGUUCGACCCUUUCCAUCCGAACUGUCCGCCCUCAAAGGGCUUCGUCUGUCGAUCUUGCUGUGCCGGGAACCCUCAGGGCGGUGUGCCAUCUUUUGAUUCCCGGGUGUGCGACCACCCAACCUGCUUCGGUCACAAGAGCGACUCCAAAGCCUAUUCUUGGAUCGCCUUGUACCUUCAGCACUCCAUGCCCUGGAUUGUCUGUCUAGAGACCUACCCAGCCUUCUGGUUUGGUUGUGGUUGGAGGCCUCGUUUUCAUGUUCGGCCACCAGGACCAUCUGUUUCACAAUCUCUUCCUUCUGCUGCAACAGCACCCUGUGUUUCCACUGUCUCCUGCGCCUUUUUGGCCAAAACAAAUUUUUUAUCCUCCUGAUCGUCUUGGGGUCAGGUUCGAGGAGGUGUCUCCUACCCUUCUCCAAUCGUUCUUAGUCGAGAAUAGCCUCCUCCUGACCUCAUCGCAAUCUCUACUUUCGGAUCCUACCGAGGUGCUAUGUAGACCGAGCCGCUCAUGGAUGCUCUUCGAUGGCCCCAACCUAUCUUUAACGGAUCCCCUCUGUUGAGAAGAACCUCCUGUCGUCGAUUGUCCCACAACUGAAAACGUCCUACUGUUCACCAUGAUUUCAGUCACAGGAAGUUGAUAAUUGUGAUUGAAAAUUCAACAACACUAGAAAGCCCUCCUUCUAGCGCCAAUAUUAACGCCAAGAUCUGUCCACGCCUCCAAUCACCAAAGCGCGUCCAAUCCUGCACAGAAACGAGUAAACACUGAAAACUUGACGGCCUGGGCCGCCGAGGAUAGCUCCGGUGUGAGAAUAAUUAUAGGCUGAUAUAAUGUUAACAAUGGAGGCUCAACGCUCUAGUGCUGGAAAGUAAUAAUUUGCAUGUACCUUAGAAUCAUAGAAAAAAGCCUUGUAUUUAUAAUGUUCUCAUCACCUUCAUGAAAUCCUUCUCCAGAUCAGAUUAAGGUUCUCACCCAAACAAUAAUUCCUUAAUAGGAUUGUACCAAAUCUCCUAGAAUUAAGGAAGUUGGUUUAUAACCUAAUACUUCUUUCCAUAUCCAGAGACCAAGUAUAAUUAAGAACCUUAAUUCACAAAUCUCCCGUCUACCAAAACAACCCCUUGUCCAAACCCACAUAAUACCAUAUGGAUAAUAGCCCACUGUAUUUCCUAGGACCAAAUAUCCUUGGCCCAACAUUCCAAGCACAUGUUAAGUCUUUCUGCCUGACCAUCAGAUUGUGAGUGGUAAGAUGAGCUCGUACAUAACUUCACUCCCAAUUGCUGAAAUAAGGACUGCCAAAGUGUACUCAGAAAUUUUUUAUCCCUAUCACUAACAAUUGUUUGAGGCAACCUAUGCAUCCUAUAUAUGCGAUCCACAAAAUUUAGCAACAAAUACAACGGUUAAAGGAUGUUUGAGACCAAUAAAAUGCUCAUAUUUAGAAAACCUGUCUGCUACUACUAUAAUGGCAUUAUUUCCUUCUGAAAGAGGAAGUCCUUCAAUGAAAUCCAUAGCUAUGCCAUCCCAUGGCUUAUCAGGAAUCAUUAAUGGUUGUAGCAAACCAGGAUAUAUUGAACAUUUUCAGUUUUGUUUAUUUGACACACAUCACACUCACCAAUCCAGUGCUUGAUGUCUGAUACACAGCCAGCCCAAGUAAAAUAUAUGCCAAUUCUUUUAAGAGUAGCUUGAAUUCCUGAGUGUCCACCCAAUGGACUAACAUGGAAUACUGAAAACACUCUCUUCCUGAUAUCCCAAUACGAUCACCCCUUGUUGCCUUAAUAUGCCCUGUUUGAAAGACAAUUUAGAAUUUACAUCUGCAUUAAGGGAUAACUGUUGGAUAAACAAUUGAACUUGUGGAUCAUCCUUAUAGGAAUUUGUGAUAUCCUGCAGGCACAGAGGUACACUACCGGACAUAGCCUGAAUAUAAACCAUUUGUUCCCUCCACCUCUCCAUGUUCUUGUCUUGAAAGUGCAUCUGCUAAUGCAUUUUCAGUACCUUUUUUAUAGGUGAUUUCAUAGUCAUAUCCCAACAUUUUACUUGGCCAUUUCUGUUGCAGAAAAGUUGUCAAUCUUUGCUCCAUAAAAAAUUUAAGACUUUGAUGAUCAGUCUUAAUAAUGAAAUGUGAGCCCAGUAGACAAGUCCUCCACUUAUUCACAGCCUGCAAUAUUACCAACAACUCUUUUCAUAUACUGAAAGCCCCAUAUGUUUAGGAGCUAAUGCUUUACUUAAGAAUGCUAAAGGUCUACCCUUUUGCAUAAGUACUGCUCCGAUUCCUCUAGCACUUGCAUCAGUUUCUACCACAAAUGGUAUCUUGAAAUCAGGGAGAGCUAGUACUGGACUAGAACUCAUUGCUUGUUUGAGUUUUUGAAAAGCAGUUGUAGCCUCCUCAGUCCAUACAAACUGAUCCUUCUGCAACCGGUGGUCCAAUCGGUAAACCCGAUUGACCCGUUUUUUUUACCAAAAAAAUUUUAAUAUUAAAAGUAACCACAUUUAUUAAUAUUGUAACUCAUUUUUAUUAUGUUUUUAUUCAUAAAAAACGAGAGUUUUUAAAAUUUUAUUAAUUACUAAUAAUAUGUAUUAAUAACGUCAGUGUGUUAAUAACGGUUUGACCACUGGUUGAACCAAUGAUCCAUUCACCCGGUAUCUUUUCCGGUUCGAUGAAUGGUCCAAUUUUGAGAACCUUGGUUUAAAGAAUCUAAAUUAGGACACAAAGUUCUUUUUCUUAUAAUUAGGUGUCUUGUUUUAGAGAGAGAAAUUAUUUUUAUUUUCCUUUUCAUCCCUUCACUUCAGGCUGGGACUAGAGAUUGAGAGUCUGUUCUUUGGUUUCUUUUCCUUUUCCUUUUACAGCUCAGAACAAGGAGUAGAAUUGGUUGUACAUAAAACCAUUUUAUAAUUGAAUAUAACUUUACUAUUGUUUGCCAUUUAAUUCGUGCUUACUUAGUAUCUUGUUAGAUAAUUAUUUUAUGUGUUCUUAUUAGUUAAUUAAGUUGAUUAGAGUUUUCUUUAUCAAGAUUGAUUUGAUGCAAUUAUUAUUAGUACCAAUUUUAUUGUUUUUAUUUUAAUUCGUAUGGCUAACUAAAUUUUUAAUACCUAGGAUGAAGAUGAAAUUAGGUAUUUCAUAACAAUAUUUUCUUUUCAUUCUGACAUUAGUGUCUAAUUAUUUUUGCCUUCAUAUUUACCUUCGUUUAAAAUUUCAUAUAAUUCUUAUAUUGAUUGCGAGGUUUUGAUAGAGCUGCAAACGAACCGAAACGAACCUAACUCGAACACUUUUAGUCGAACUCGAACAUGUUCGAGUAACUUGAUUGAACCAACAGUUAUAUACGAGUUCAGAUCGUUUGGUGUUCGCGAACAUGAUCGAGUUUGCGAACAGUUCGCGAACAAGGCGAACAUAAGCUUGUUCGCGAACAUAGCGAACAUUCAUGAACACAAACUAUGUUCACGAACACAAACUUAUUAACAAACACAAACUUAGAACUCUGAAGCAAAAAAUAGUUAAAUAAUCUACGAGUCUACGUAUUCAAUCAAAAAUUAGACCAAAUAUUAUAAUUAUCAUUCAUCCAAAAAGACCAAAACCAAAAAUAAUUACUUAGAACUUAAAAGUUAGAACUUAAAAUUUAAAAGUUAAAAGUUAACAAGUACUUAGAAAUUCUUGAUUUAUAUUAAUAUUCAAAAGCCUUUCAACUCUUCAAGAUCCAUCCACUUGAAGCAAAGUCUACAAACAAAUUAUUAUCAAAAACUCACAAUUAUUAGUAAUGUUUUUCUUUUGUUGUCAUUUUUAAUUAAUAUCAAGUUGUUUUUUUUAAAAAAAUUAAUAUCUAGUUUUUAUUUUCUAUCUUAAAAUUUUGUAUAGUUUUUUAAAGUUUCGAAAUUAUUCAGUAAAUAAUUUAAUGAUUAUUACAGUCUCGAUACAUACAUUGAUAACUUGAUUUCUCUAUUCGCUAUCUCGAUUUGACGAUUACAAUAGGUCAUGUAAAUGUAAGCAAUUUUAUUGUAUCAUUCUUUAAUUAAUGUCAAAUUGUCAUUGCAUGAUGAUUAAUGAUUAGAAGUAAGAAUAGGCCAGUUCACCAUAGCAACAAUUUUAUUAGGACCCCUUCCUGUGAAAUGAUGUGUCCCAGGUAUUCCACUUUAGACUGUGCAAAUGAACAUUUUGAUUUUUUUGCAAGCAAGGAAUGUGUUCUCAGUAAUGAUAAGAGUACUGUCCAAAUGCUCUAUAUGGGUCUGUAAAUCUGGACUAUAAACCAAUAUAUCAUCAAAAAAUACCAAAAUAUAUCUACUAAACCAUAACAUCACCAAAAGUAACCAAGUAUUUUAGGAAUAUCAAUUUUCUAUAACGGGCAAUGCAAUGUAUAUAAAACAUAAAUGCAAGCACAUGUGCAAAAUAGAAAACUUACCCCGACCAACACAUGGUCAGAAAAGACAUCUAAAGCUGCAAGGAUGCCCCUGAAAGAUUGUAAAAGAGCAUAACAUUAGCUACACUAUGGAAGUGAGGAAUACAGAUCUACAAAUAAAAUAGCUUGUUGUGUAACAUUUUAGUGAGAAGAAAAAAUCCAUAGUUUCAAAAUAUAUUCAUAUUUUAUUGUCAGAAUAAUAUAAACAAUCCAUAACAGUCUACAACUAUUAAAAAAAUAAUCACCACAAGAAAUGGAUGUGAAUAAUAAGAUAAUGAAAUAAGAUCCAUAAACUUGAACGUCUCCUAUACCAUUCAACUCUUACAUUUGAUGAACACUUCAGAUUAACGGUUACAUGUGGUUCGUGGGUUAAUGCUUGUAUCCAUCAGGUAAAUCUCACUUCUGAAAGGAGGGGGGAUUUCCUGAGAUAGCCUAAUAAAAUGAAAGUUGGAAACAAUUAUGUAAUUUAUGUACACCGAGUCCAUCAUGCUUUGGAAUUUGGUCCUUAUGCAAACAUUUAUAGACUUCGAGUCCUUGACAGAAAGCUAAAUGAUAUCACUGAAGCCCUUCAAAGGGAGUAGAUAUAGACCGAGUUUUAUAGUAAUCUUCUACGACAAAGCGCUCUUUUGAUUUCUGAUCUAGUAGCAAUUCUACAGUGUAGAUGCUGAUAGUCUUCAGACACUUAGUGCAUUGAACAUAUCAAAUCUUGCCUACCUAGAAAUUAGAUUAUAGCCAGAUAAAAAAGGCAAUAUAAUUUCAGGGUUACCAUCAGUAAAGCAUUUGAAUUUACAAUUAUAUACAAUCCACAACUUUUAUAGUCGUCAAAAAGUUCUCAUAAAGAAAUUCUUUUUAUAUUCUCAAAUGGAAAGUUAAAAUGUGAUAAACAAUAAGCAUUGGUAACAGGAACUAAAAGCCAAAACCCAAUACUAUAGGAUCAAGAAACUAUAGUUUAGAAACAUUGGCAGAAAAUAUUUAAGUAUAUCUAAUCAAUAACUUUUAAUUAACAUCCGAACAUCCCGUGAGCUCACAAUUGAAAUUAUUAGAGUAUAUUAAUAUUAGUUCUUGGUCACCAAAUAUGUUUGGUACCCACACAUACUUGGCCACUACUAGUAGCCUAUUUACAAGGCUUUAGUACUCUUAGUAAUAAAAUAAAAACAAUAUUUAAUAAAUCAAUUUUGUCUCUAACAGAAAUAAUAUAAGAACCUACGUCAACGACUUCCCAUGAAAGACAAUUGGAGGAGCGAUAGGAGCAAGUAUGCAAAAACCGAUGUGAAGCUGCACAAUUACAAAUUGCAAUAGCAUUUUUUUCAAGAACAAACAAAAAUAAUAGUAGUGGCUCUUUUACUGAACUUACCAAGUAGAACAGGAAAAAGCAACCAAACUUCAAGGCACUGUCAAUUCUGCAAAUUAGAAACAAAUAGCCAUUUACAACAACUAUCAGCAAUAUUUGAUAUAAACAGAACAAUGUUUAUGUUAAAACCGUGAUUAAAACUAAAAAAUAAGCCCAAGAGCUAUCUGGUGAUUACCUAAUCUGAUGCACUGUAUAUAUGCAGUAAAUAUAUCAGUCAAUACAUGACCAUAUAAUUACUACUAAACUAACUUCUUUUCAAAGUCAAAUCAGACUACUAUGUCCAUAUAAAAUGGAGCAAAAUAAAUAAUAAAUUAACACUGAAAAAAUUACCUUUAGAUCAUUGAUAUGGACAUAUACACGAGUAUAAAAAUUCAGCAAAUCUAGUAAGGUUAGAGGCUGGUAAUUUGUCAUGUAAAUAUAUAAAAGGAUUCAGAUUAUUGAUUGUCAAUCCUACUAGAAGUGGCGGCACCAGGAUUUUGUUGGGGGGCAAAAAUUUUUUUUUAUAAAAUUUAAUAGUUAAUAUGGGCAAGUAGAGCAUAAAUAGUUGCAAGAAAGAAAAUUUUGACACCUGGACAAAGUCAACCAUGUCAGAAGCUCAAUACUGAAGCCC
This 26122-nucleotide long non-coding RNA is filed under the name Panax ginseng (ginseng). RNAcentral describes it as "long non-coding RNA (PGIN_LNC010610)". Lineage: Eukaryota; Viridiplantae; Streptophyta; Magnoliopsida; Apiales; Araliaceae. The record is from RNAcentral.